Molecule: long non-coding RNA, 979 nt
Organism: Erinaceus europaeus (western European hedgehog)
Lineage: Eukaryota; Metazoa; Chordata; Mammalia; Eulipotyphla; Erinaceidae
Exons: 2
Source: RefSeq, a predicted model, not a curated record
CAUCUUGAGACUGAUUUUUGUGGACCAGGUUCUCUCACAUUUUGUUUUGUUUUUUCCCCCCUCCAGGAUUAUCACUGGGGCUCGGUGCCUGUACUACUAUGAAUCCACUGCUCCUGAAGGCUAUUUUUUCCUAUUUUGUUGCCCUUGUUGUCGUUGUCAUUGUUGUUAUAGCUAUUGUUGUUGGAUAGGACAAACAGAAAUCGAGAGAGGAGGGGAAGACAGAGAGGGGGAGAGAAAGAUAGACACCUGCAAACCUGCUUCACUGCCCAGGAAGCAACACACCUCCCGCAGGUGGGGAGCCAGGGGCUCAAACAAGGAUCUUUAUGUGGGUCCUUGUGCUUUGUGCCAUGUGUGCUUAACCUGCUGCACUAUUGCUCAGCCCCCCUCAUGUUUUUUUUUUUUUUUUUCAAAAUCAAGCAGAUGCAAGUUUUAAAAAUUAAAUCAAGAUCAAUGGGACCUAGACACCAGGAUCAUCUGAGUGUUACAAUUACUUUUAUGCAAAUGCUUUUGCAGAGUUGACCAAACCUGAGGACAGGGGGCUAGGGUUUCUUUAAUUCCUAUUCCUUACCUUCUUCAAGCUUCCUUACAGCUGUCCCAUGUCACCCAACUCAGGAGCAGCUGGAGUACUUGGUAGGCUGAGGGGACAGAUGUACCUGACUGCCAAAUAGCUGUCACAUCCACCCUUGGAACUGAACUUUGCUAGCCUGUCAUUCCUGGUGACACUGUACAUGCACCAGCUUUACUGGCAAGCUUGUGCUUGUUCUGAGUUGGAAUUUGGUGAGACUCAGUUGGCCUCCAGAAUCCAGGACUUGUGAUUGGAAAUGGAUCUGUUGCCAUCCAUCAAAGAAGCAGAAAAAUCUGGAGUAGAAUAAAGGAAAGCCACUGUGUAACAAGGGAAGGAUGAAACUAGAGGCUAAGAGAAAUAAAAUGUUGCAGGGUGGGGGCUGCAGGAGCCACUCCCUGAUCCUGCUUACCUGGU